AUGAGGAGUAUUGCUGGGCCAGAGAUAACAUGUGGGAACGUGCAAGGUCAGCCCGUGUUUAGAUCAGAAGCCCCAAUUCUCCCUUUGAUUCCAGGAUGCGCAGCAACUGGCAGGAAAGCCGCCAUCUCUGCUCCACUAGGCUCCUUCUUCUCCUAUACGUGGGAUGCCUCCAAACGCACUAUUAGGACUUUCCGGAGCCUUAGGCCUGUGUGCCAAAUCUGCAUCCAUGAGACUUGGCGUGUCCAGAUUGUACUACCUCUUGUGGUGAUGAAGAUACCAGAUCCCUACUCAGUCUGGAGGAAUGUGGGUCCAAGAUAAAUGAACUCACCUACUUUAGAAAAGAAAAUCCAACAUGAGAAUGGUAACACCCCACAGAAGGCAACUCAUUCUGCACUUUGCCAAUAUAGCCAGUGGGAACCUAGAGUCUUUUCCAUCAUGUGUGGAGUUGUGGUUGGUUUUUUUUUUUCCUCUUUCCUUUUAGUUUCCUAAAUAUAGAAUUAAUGGGUUUUAGAGAAAGCCAGUGAUUGCGUUUGCUUGAGUCUAGAGAGUGGAAAGAAAAUAUCCCUUUCUCUGCAGGUUUCAAAAUUC
RNAcentral lists this long non-coding RNA (588 nucleotides) under Bos indicus x Bos taurus (hybrid cattle). Its description in RNAcentral is "lncRNA (ENSBIXG00000014718.1)". The record is from RNAcentral. Lineage: Eukaryota; Metazoa; Chordata; Mammalia; Artiodactyla; Bovidae.